This is a long non-coding RNA of Melozone crissalis (California towhee), 693 nucleotides long. RefSeq lists it as uncharacterized. Lineage: Eukaryota; Metazoa; Chordata; Aves; Passeriformes; Passerellidae. The transcript is spliced from 3 exons. The record is from RefSeq and is a predicted model, not a curated record.
AAUAUCUCUCUGACUUCCUUCCAGGGAACACUCGGCAUCGUUUCUGGAGCAUUUUCAGGGGUGGCUGCUAAUGAAAACAGUGAGAUCUCUGCUCUUAAGGUUGUCUUCAUGAAAAUGUCCACUGGAUGACUACGUUAAAGAAAUGAAGAAUGAACAGACAGAAAAGAUGAGAAAAGAUCUAAAUAAAUACUACCCAGAGACCUCUUACUUUCUUUGAAGACUGCAGUGAUCUUUUUAACAGUGCUGUGUAAAAAUGACAUAUGUGAAAUACAAUGAAAUUUGUCGAGAGUUCCAAUGCUGAAGAUUAAGUAAAUAUGAUUUUACUCUCUGUACUAAAUCUGCUGAUGAAGAAGCUAAAUUCUGAUCAGCAGCAGUUACAGUAACCAGCUCGCCUGCUUCUCUCAUGCUGGGGAUAAUUCUGCCUUGGAGAUGCCAUUUGCUGAUAUCUCUUUGCCAUGACAGAUGUUUAAGCUGAUACUUCCUCAGAUGACAAGACUGAAAAUAGACUUAACUCCAUUUGAUGGAAACCCCCCAGCAUCAAUGGAACCAGUGCAGACCUCGGGCCCUUUAUCUUGCCUCUCAGACACUACUUUGGCAGCCCCAUAUAUGAUAAUGCAAGAAUAAUUGCUUAUUACAUCUCUGCUGUAGCAUACAAGCAUUGUGUAAUUCAGCAUUAAUGUCUGACAACCCAGC